Molecule: long non-coding RNA, 2129 nt
Filed under: Nicotiana benthamiana
Lineage: Eukaryota; Viridiplantae; Streptophyta; Magnoliopsida; Solanales; Solanaceae
Description: long non-coding RNA (NBEN_LNC030688)
Source: RNAcentral
GCCGCCUCUAACUCCCUCUUCUCUCAACUUCCCUCGAACUCUCUUGAAACCCUAAUCGUUUUCUGCCAUUUUCAACCCCCAAACCCACAAGAAUCCAUGGCCGUUCAAGCCAUGGACGACCUAUGCUUGCCCCCUACUGCUCUUAUGUACUUGAUGUCUGAAGGUUCGAGGCCAUACUUCAAGGGUCUUCGUUCAGACCUUUGUCGAUUCGAGGUUUUCAGCCAUCUCUAGCCUUGCUCCGGCAUAUCUUAGCCUCGUGAACCAUCUCAAACGUUAUCGACUCCAGAUCUGAUCUUGUUUCUUCCAAACCUUUCUCGUUUCUAGGGUUCUCUGAAAACUUAGCCUAUUCGAUAUUCUUUUUCAUUUAUUUUCUUAGAUUUGUGCUUGAUCUGUGCUAUAGUUGAUAUUUUAAGCGUCUUCCCCGAAUUUCCUUUUCAAAAAUCUUUUGAUUUCGAUCUAGGGGUUUUGAGUCUUUUUGUUAAUAUUUUGUUCGAUUCAUUUGCUUAUCAUAUCUAGGUUUAAUUGGUGUUGAAAAACCUAAUUUUUUGAGAUUUGUUUGAGUUUCUGAGUCUAUCUGUUUGAUUUACUUUGUUUACACCUGAUUAAUGUUGAAAACCCUAAUUUUUGGGGUUUAUUUGAGACUCUAAGACUGUUUAUGUGUUUCACUUGUUUAUCGCCUCUAAAGUAUACUGAUUUCGAAAACCCUAGUUCUUUGGGGUCUAUUCGAGUUCCUGAGAUUGUUUGUGCAACUCGCCUGUUUGAAAUUGCUCCAUCUGAUUCUUUACUUCAGCAUCUUGUUUCUUUAUGUGAUUCAUUUUGUUCUGAGUUCUUGAGAUUUGUUAAACUCGACUAUGUUUUCAGAAAGUUCACAUUUGACUCUUUGCAUGCUUCUGAUCUUUUUCUCUAUUACUAAGCCAAUGAAAAUUGACCUACGUGACUAUCAUGCUAUGAAUGCUUGCUGUCUACUAACUUUGUGCUAUUGCUGUAUGCUAUUUCUCUUGCCAUAGCUUGGCCUCACAUGUUUAUUACUUGUGCGCUUCAUUUAUAUAGUGACACCCUAUUGUGAUUGAUCUUCAAACUCGUGAUUGAUUAUCAAAACUAUUCCUCUGUGAAAUUUUGAUUUUACUCGGCUGUUAAGGGGAAAUUGAUUCGCUCUCUUUGUUUGGCCUUACCAGAUCCUUUCCAAAAAUAAGUACAUUCCUGUACUUAGACUAAAUCACUUACUAUAUAGUUUAACUACUCUUUUUAUGGCAACAAUCUUUCUACUUACAAAUUGAUUGUCUUUCCUUAUAUUAAUCAUGUUAGUAUCCAUUUGAGCAGUAAUCCCAUGAUUAAAGGGAAAUACUUGUGUUAAUUGAUUUUGACUGUGUUAUUUCCAUGUUUGUGUUAAAACCUUACUUGUUACCCUAUUCUCUACUCGUCUUCAAAACUAUAAAUACCUGUAGCUCUUCUCUUUCAAAAACAAGUUCUAACAAAACAAGCCACUACUUCUUCUCUCAAAUAUAGUUAGAAUUUCAUAAGCAUUCGAGUUCUCUGAACUUACAAAUUCAAAGUUCUCUUCUCAGAUUGUGGUUUGGCUGAAAGAAAUUCUGCUUUUUCUUUGCUUACGUUUUCUGCAACUGGUAUGUCUCUCUUUGUUUAAUUUCUGCCUCUUAACUACAUGUUUAUUCUUCAGGCUUUGCUUUGCUUUUUCUUACUGUUUCGAUGUUUUAAUUGCUGUAUGUUUACUUACUUCUUUAUCUCUGUGCUUACAUGAAUCCCUACCCCAAUUCCCUUUGUAUGUUGACUUAUGGUCAAAAAAGCAUGACAACACUUGACAUUGUUGCUCAUAUGUAUGGAUUUGACUCCCUGAGUCCUAAACUCUUCAAUUCCCAUGUCCCUUCCCCAUUUACAUGUAUUCUGAGUUUAAGACUGUGGUCUAGCAGUGUCCUAAUCAGUGUAUGGACCCUAGCAUGACCUUCAAUAGGUCUGUGCUCAUAUUUGUUGGCUGAACAGUUCUGUUCAGGGGUGUGCCAGUCUACCUUUUGACUAGGUAUGACCACCAUCCUGCCUUGGCACUUCCUAACCCCUCAAUUGUAUUGGCACUCACUCUUAGAACUUAAGUUUUGCCCCCCUCUUGUGAACCUUGC